GAAAUUUGCAGUUCUGAAUGGCCAUUUUGUGCUGAACCCUAAAGUAAAUCAGUUUUCAUAGGCUCUAUAUGUUUAUGGCCUGGAAGAUAAAACAGUUUUAGCCCUUAGCUAGCUAAGAUUUUCCAUUUCACUCAGACGCUAACAGUCGGAGUAGUGAGGGCAUUAAUCAAAUCCAGUGUUCCAGUGGCUGGGUGUUGGGACCUGUUCCAGCCUGGGUGAUGAUGGUGGACACUGAGCCUUCUGGCUCUCAGUGAUUGGGCCUUGCUGGUGCUGCUGGUGUUUGGCUGAGUCCUCAAGAAAAACACGACUGCUCAAGUGUGGGAAGGUUUGAGGUCCCGCCUACAGUAAAAGACUACAUCAGGCUGAAAUAAGACUCAUCCUUUAAGGACAGUGGAGGACAUUCACCCUCCUCUUGAGACAUUUUCCCCUCUCUCCUCCUCACUAUGCAUUAUCUAGUGACAGAGGCAUCCCAGGCCCUGCUCCCUUCGCUGUGAUGGAUGGUCCUCAGUGCUCCACAGUGGCCACAGUGAUUGGCUAGUCCUGAUACAACUCUAAAUGGCUUCAGUAGGAAUCUCAUUGCCCCACAGUUCCCUAAAGA
Oreochromis niloticus (Nile tilapia) is the source of this 598-nucleotide long non-coding RNA. RefSeq lists it as uncharacterized. Lineage: Eukaryota; Metazoa; Chordata; Actinopteri; Cichliformes; Cichlidae. The record is from RefSeq and is a predicted model, not a curated record. The transcript has 3 exons.